Quercus lobata is the source of this 387-nucleotide long non-coding RNA. RefSeq lists it as uncharacterized. Lineage: Eukaryota; Viridiplantae; Streptophyta; Magnoliopsida; Fagales; Fagaceae. The transcript is spliced from 2 exons. The record is from RefSeq and is a predicted model, not a curated record.
CUGUUUUCUCAUUUUUUAUUAGCAGCUGCAAUUUUGAGUCCUUUGACCAUGCCUAUCAAGGCUUUAGUCAUAUAUGAUUCAUGGUGUAACAAUCCCACCCACCUCUAAAUGAUUAAGUGGUAAAAGAUUAAUUUACUUGACUCCUUUGUGGCUAACUCAUUGGGAUUAAUUUCUACAUAAAGGAAGCAUGUUGCCAUUGUUAUAUUUUGUAACUCUUUUGAGACCUAUGAAGUUUUAUAAAAUAUUGAGUGCUUGUUUCUGGUGCAUGUAUGUAUAUACAUUGGUGUGGAUGUUAAGCAUCAUUCAUACAAUGAGAAGUUUCAGAUUUAAUGCCCAUUGCCACUGUGUUGAUGCAUGGAUCAGUGCAGAGAAGAGCAAUGGAAAAGG